Molecule: small nuclear RNA, 23 nt
Filed under: Arabidopsis thaliana (thale cress)
Lineage: Eukaryota; Viridiplantae; Streptophyta; Magnoliopsida; Brassicales; Brassicaceae
Description: snRNA_10236
Source: RNAcentral
AGGAAGAGGUACAGCAGGAGAUC